UGAGAAAGAAGGUUCGUAGUAGGGCUGCUAACUUUACUUCAAGGGGCUCAAUCCCCUUUUUCUUAU
This 66-nucleotide transfer RNA is filed under the name Modiolus modiolus (northern horsemussel). RNAcentral's name for it is "tRNA-Ser". RNAcentral also lists the same sequence under 1 other name. The record is from RNAcentral. Lineage: Eukaryota; Metazoa; Mollusca; Bivalvia; Mytilida; Modiolidae.